UACGGAGGGUGCGAGCGUUGUCCGGAAUCACUGGGCGUAAAGGGCGCGUAGGCGGCUCGGUAAGCGUGUGGUGAAAGCCUGGGGCUCAACCCCGGGUCGGCCAUGCGAACUGUCGAGCUGGAGCACUGUAGAGGCAGGCGGAAUUCCGGGUGUAGCGGUGGAAUGCGUAGAUAUCAGGAGGAACACCGGUGGCGAAGGCGGAUUUCUGGACCAGUUCUGACACUGAUGAGCGAAAGCCAGGGGAGCAAACAGG
This 253-nucleotide ribosomal RNA is filed under the name uncultured bacterium. RNAcentral describes it as "partial 16S ribosomal RNA". It matches the Rfam family "Bacterial small subunit ribosomal RNA", at positions 524 to 776 of the family's 1533-position model. The record is from RNAcentral.